GCGUGAGUGAUGAAGGCCCUAGGGUUGUAAAGCUCUUUCAGUUGGGAAGAUGAUGACGGUACCAACAGAAGAAGCCCCGGCUAACUUCGUGCCAGCAGCCGCGGUAAUACGAAGGGGGCUAGCGUUGUUCGGAAUUACUGGGCGUAAAGGGCGCGUAGGCGGUUUUGUUAGUUAGGCGUGAAAGCCCCGGGCUCAACCUGGGAAUUGCGCUUAAUACUGCAAAACUUGAGUUCGAGAGAGGGUGGUGGAAUUCCAAGUGUAGAGGUGAAAUUCGU
RNAcentral lists this ribosomal RNA (275 nucleotides) under uncultured bacterium. RNAcentral's name for it is "partial 16S ribosomal RNA". It matches the Rfam family "Bacterial small subunit ribosomal RNA", at positions 399 to 691 of the family's 1533-position model. The record is from RNAcentral.